GUCUUACCAAACCUAAGAACACGGCACUGACUGCCAUGCCGAUUGCACAAGAGUAGAAGGCAGCUCCGUAGUUUUGAGUCACAUCCACCAGCAAGCCUGGUAGAGGACAGAAAAGGAUUAAAAGGAAGCAUUAAAGGGGCUCUGAGAAAAUUUGGAGACUACACGUUUUCUUGUGUAAAGCUUGCACAACAAAAUGUGACAGGAAGGGUCUAAUGCAAGAAGCUACUGAGUUGCCAUAGGAAACAAAAGAUCCUGUGUUGGAGAAAGUCUUAGACUAAUGAACUGAAAACUUGUCACUGCAAGAAAACACUUACCACCAAGGGGGGGUCCAGCCAGCCCAGCAAAGCUUUGUAUGAACACAUAGACACCAGCAGCUGAAGACAUCCUCUCUAUGCCCACCACGUCAUCUUCAGCCAGGAUGGGGAUGUGAGUGCAUGCUAGUGUUCCCAUUAAGAACCCAUACAAAGCACAGCAUACAGCCAGGCCGUAGAACUCCGUGACCAAGAUGUCUGUUUUUCUUUUUCCAGCAAAGUCUUUUCCUCCGUUUCCUUCAAAGACUGGACACCAGAGUCUCCAGUGCUCACAGAGCCUCUGUGCCUCCAGUUCCUUUGAGGACAAUCUAUCAGUCUCCGCCAUAUGAGUCGCUCUGGGUUUGAUGAUGAUUGGCCGCAGAAGAGCACCACAGAUGAUGAUGAUGCUUUGCAGAGCUCCUAUCACUGCCAUGGUGUGUCGCCAGCCAAUAUGGUUCCUUAGUGCAGAAAAGGCUGAGAGGGCAAGAAGGGGUCCUGGGCCAGCAGUGUAAAAACCAACACUCCCAGUCUGGACUAAUAGAUGAUCUGCUGAAUGAGCUAAAUAGCUAACAGCAGCUACAGAUAAUAGCAAUUAGCUGUUACUUGAGAUGAAAUGGCAACCCCCAUUUGUUUUUAACAAAUUAAUUCAACGGGUGGCAAAUUAUUCAAUAAUGCCCCUUUCAGUAAAUUAUUGCAAACAGGAAAACAUUUGUUCAAAGGCUAAACAUGUAGUUGGUGUUUGUUAAAGCUAUUUUUAAAGGCUUAAUUUCUUAAAUCUGACCUGCCUGUGUUUCUCUAAGCAUUUUCUUUAGUAGUCAAUACAUAAGAUACACAAGUCCUGUGUAAAGUCCUGUCCAAAGAAUCACAAACUCAAGAACAUAUAAGAAUAGAAAAAAUAGGAUAAUUAAAAAGCAAGUAAUUUCAAGUCAGUCUUCAUUUUGAUGAAGAAAAAAAAACUUUGUUGUCUUGAAUAUGAAUGUAUUUAAUUCAUUACUGCCCAGAAAGCAACACUUCUUAGCUAUCUCAACAACAGAGUCACAUCCGUACCAGUUACCCAAAACAAGCAUAUCUCAAGACACGGAGACAAGGCCUUAUAAUCUUUCUGUCUGGACAGUAUGAAACCUAGAGCGUGUAUGAAGGUUACAGUGAUCCUUUUAAGUUAUUGAAGUGCAGUACUUUUUCCUGCCACAA
Acanthopagrus latus (yellowfin seabream) is the source of this 1481-nucleotide long non-coding RNA. RefSeq lists it as uncharacterized. NCBI's taxonomy places the organism in Eukaryota, Metazoa, Chordata, Actinopteri, Spariformes, Sparidae. The record is from RefSeq and is a predicted model, not a curated record. The transcript is spliced from 6 exons.